Hippoglossus stenolepis (Pacific halibut) is the source of this 1048-nucleotide non-coding RNA. The record is from the annotation of a RefSeq genome assembly. Lineage: Eukaryota; Metazoa; Chordata; Actinopteri; Pleuronectiformes; Pleuronectidae.
AACUGAUUUGGUCCAAGAUAUUACGACACAUACACCAAACCAGUUUUCAGCAGAACUUCAACAGACUCCACAGAUUUGAGUUAAAGCCUCAAAUCCCGUCUGUCUCCAUCCUCCCAUCACUCAGCAGCCUCACAGGAAGCAACGGAAGAGAAGCUCAGAAAUGACAAGUUCAGUGGAAAAAGACGAUUGAAAUAAAGUUCAUGAAGUGAGAUUCAACUGAGAAAACGUGAACAACAACAUGUGUAGGAAAUGUAAAACCAACUGGUCCAAUGUUUCAGGAAUCUCAGAGAAUUUGGAGUCAUUUGAAUAUGAACGUUGAUGCUGUCAUGUGGCUUUUCAGACAAUAUCUUACAAGACACUUUAUUGUUCAGAAAUGUGUCACAAGUACAAGAAAGAAACAGAAAGUUGAACCCAAUAACAGGUUUGUGUGUUUGAGCUGAAAGCUGCAGAAUCAACAGACGUGUGGUUUAGGUGUUGGUAACAAGCAGUGAUAUGAGAGGACGGACAGAGAGGGAGGAGCAACACUGUCAAAGAGCAGAGCAGAAAAGACCUCCUGCUGUGCUGCAUUCAAUAUCUACACCAGACAUCAGAUAGUGUCUGUAAGAUGUUCCCUCUGCGUCACGCUGGAGUCUGGCCUUUGUUUCUCUUCAUCCUGAAAGGUGUCAGCUGUGAAAAACUGCCUCCAGACCAGACUGCAGAGUUCAGUGUAGAAGGCAGCACUGUUACUCUGUCCUACAACGUCUCCAGGCCAAUAACUGGUACUGAUCAUUUCUUCUGGUAUCGACAGUAUCCAGGACAAGCACCAGAGUUCCUCCUGUACAUCUCAGGGUUCAAUGUGACAAGAAUGUCAGAUUCUCUGAAGUCAGAAACAAGGUUCUCCACUCACCUGUCUGGAAAUGAUGUCAAACUGCAGAUCUCCUCUGCUGCAGUGACAGACUCUGCUGUGUACUACUGUGCUGUGAAGCCCACGUUUGUAGGAUAUUUCUUAAAUGUGUGGUGUACCACAGGGUUCAAUGCUGGGUCCUCUCAUCUUCAGUUUACAUGUUGA